RNAcentral lists this ribosomal RNA (357 nucleotides) under uncultured bacterium. RNAcentral's name for it is "bacterial SSU rRNA". It matches the Rfam family "Bacterial small subunit ribosomal RNA", at positions 8 to 350 of the family's 1533-position model. The record is from RNAcentral.
AGAGUUUGAUCCUGGCUCAGGAUGAACGCUAGCUACAGGCUUAGCACAUGCAAGUCGAGGGGAAACGACAUCGAAAGCUUGCUUUUGAUGGGCGUCGACCGGCGCACGGGUGAGUAACGCGUAUCCAACCUGCCCACCACUUGGGGAUAACCUUGCGAAAGUAAGACUAAUACCCAAUGACGUCUCUAGAAGACAUCUGAAAGAGAUUAAAGAUUUAUCGGUGAUGGAUGGGGAUGCGUCUGAUUAGCUUGUUGGCGGGGUAACGGCCCGACCAAGGCGACGGAUCAGUAGGGGUUCUGAGAGGAAGGUCCCCCCACCAUUGGAACUGAGACACGGUCCAAACUCCUACGGGAGGCA